This 818-nucleotide long non-coding RNA is filed under the name Sinocyclocheilus grahami. RNAcentral describes it as "lncRNA (ENSSGRG00000027004.1)". The record is from RNAcentral. Lineage: Eukaryota; Metazoa; Chordata; Actinopteri; Cypriniformes; Cyprinidae.
AGCAGAAGUGGGUCAACAACAGCCUUGAGAGAGACUUCUGACUCAUGUGAACAUAUGUGUGUGACGUCAGCAGGGUUACAGCGUUGACAAGGUUAUUUUCAUUCAAUGUUAUUCGCUUGUGCUCAUCAGUUCUUGGCAGUGAACACAGAAGUGCAGACGCCGUGUCCUUUCACUUACCAGCUGCGCUUUGUCAAACCUGCCAUCCGCUCGGCUGCUCGCACUGGACACGAUUAAAGACAUUCAAGAUAUAUAUUCGCUAAAAACAACACACACUGAAUGCAUCUAGUUUUAAGCACUAUAUUACUGAAAACAGUGCAUAUACAAACACAUAAGUUUCAUAUUUUAAGCACAAAAACAUUCUUUCCAAUGAUGCAGAACAUUAACAUAAAUUCUGUGCUGUUUUCCUCUGUAGGGUUGAAGUUAAAGUCCCGGAGCAUCUCAUCAUACAGAAGAACAACAGAAGAUGUGGCCGUCGAGUGCAGAAGAACAUGUGUCUGUCCCCGACUGAUCCAUACUCGGGCAUUCUCACUACCGGCGUUACCGUAGAUACAGAUGAGCACUGGUGCUCUCAGAUCAACAGACUGCAACAGCUCAUCGACAAACUGGAGUGUCAGGUGAAUACACUCAAAUAUCCACUCACACAGAAUAUUCUUUCUGUCUUGAGCAUGUGUUUUAAUAUAUCAUGUUCCAAGCCAAUUUUCAUUUGCUUUUCAUUUUUAGAGUCCAAAGUUGGAGCCGCUGAAAGAAGAUACACUGGCCAGCACGUACAAGUCGAACAUUCUGCUGGUGCAGAGACAGAUGAGCGUGACAGAGAAUGA